UAGGAAUGGAGGGAGUAUCACUAUAUCCUAGCCCCCCACAACCUCACCACUCCAACUUUGAUCAUCUUCGUCUUUCCAAUUUUAUGAUAAGUGACGAGUUUUAUGUUCAGAAUCAGAAUCAUGUAGUAAAAAUCAAGUUCAUAGCGCGCUAAUGGACUAGCCCAACUGGCCAUGAGAUAGGACAAGAGGGCUUUCGAAAGUUUCAGCGAAGACGCAAGCUGGAGAUGGUCUGUGUUUGAUUUCAUUGCGUUAUUUCGUCGAACACUUUAACUUCAAUCAGUCCGAACGAAAGGUGUACGCGUGGUUUUGCAAUCGGUGACGCUUCACACCAAUCUCGGAGACAUCAAGUGCGAGAUCGCUUGUGAUGAAGAAGUCCCUAGAGCAGCCGAGCACAAUGCAAGGGGUAUAAUGUCAAUGGCCAAUGGUGGUCCCAAUACCAAUGGAAGCCAGUUCUUCAUUACUUACGCAAAGCAGCCACAUAUCUCUAUGGAUUGUACACUGUUUUUGGAAAAGUGAUAGAUGGGUUUGAAGUGCUUGAUCUUAUGGAGAAGACUCAAACAGGUGCAGGUGAUCCACCUCUUGCGGAAAUCAGUACAUGCUAGUCCACUUGAGGGCUAGGUGUAUUCAAAAGGAUUUUGACGGUUGUGAGCUUGUUUCUUGUGGAAGUCAGAACUCAGAAGGUCUGUGAAUGAAGAAAUCAUUAUGUUACCCGUAACUAUUAGCAGUGGCGGUUAAGAGUGUUGAACUAGGGUUUAGUUGAGAGUGUAGAUUCUGUUGAACUAGAGGUAAAAUCGGAGGAAGUGAAAAAACAGUGAUUUACUGUUGUCAACUGCAGAAUUAUGUUAGUACUCUAGUCACUAGUGGUUCUACAAUAGAUUCAUUCUGGAUAUGUCUUUUGUUCUGGGUGAAGCUCUCA
This is a long non-coding RNA of Rhododendron vialii, 916 nucleotides long. RefSeq lists it as uncharacterized. The record is from RefSeq and is a predicted model, not a curated record. The transcript has 3 exons. Lineage: Eukaryota; Viridiplantae; Streptophyta; Magnoliopsida; Ericales; Ericaceae.